Molecule: non-coding RNA, 202 nt
Organism: Oryza barthii
Lineage: Eukaryota; Viridiplantae; Streptophyta; Magnoliopsida; Poales; Poaceae
Source: Rfam
UUUAAGUGUAGGUGUGGAUUUCUGCGUUCAACGCUUCACCGUCCAUCUUAUUUGAAACUUUUUAUAAUUAGUAUUUUUAUUAUUAUUAGAUGAUAAAAUAUGAAUAUUACUUUAUACAUGAUUUUUUUAAUUCUUUUUAUAAAUUUUUUAAAUAAGACGGAAUGUCAAACGUUAGACACAGAAACCUACAACUGCAUUUAAA